GUUUAACGGCCGCGGUAUUUUAACCGCGCGAAGGUAGCGUAAUCACUUGUCUUUUAAAUGGAGACCUGUAUGAAUGGCAUAACGAGGGUUUAACUGUCUCCUUUCCCCAGUCAAUGAAAUUGAUCUGCCCGUGCAGAAGCGGGCCUAGACCCAUAAGACGAGAAGACCCUAUGGAGCUUUAGGCGGACACCCAAGCACCCCCAGCCCCUUACAACACAAUACUGAAGAGAUGUAAAAUAAACGCUCAUGGGUGAACAGCCUUCGGUUGGGGCGACCGUGGAGGAAAAUAAAGCCUCCAAGAAGAACAAGAAAAACUCUUAAGCCAAGAGAAACAACUCUAAGCAACAGAAUAUCUGACUACAAAUGACCCAGACAUUAACUGAUCAACGAACCAAGUUACCCUAGGGAUAACAGCGCAAUCCUUUCCCAGAGUCCAUAUCGACGAAAGGGCUUACGACCUCGAUGUUGGAUCAGGACACCCUAAUGGUGCAGCCGCUAUUAAGGGUUCGUUUGUUCAACGAU
This 522-nucleotide ribosomal RNA is filed under the name Uropterygius micropterus (tidepool snake moray). Its description in RNAcentral is "partial 16S rRNA". It matches the Rfam family "Bacterial large subunit ribosomal RNA", at positions 1922 to 2588 of the family's 2925-position model. Lineage: Eukaryota; Metazoa; Chordata; Actinopteri; Anguilliformes; Muraenidae. The record is from RNAcentral.